This 575-nucleotide unclassified non-coding RNA is filed under the name Hevea brasiliensis (rubber tree). Lineage: Eukaryota; Viridiplantae; Streptophyta; Magnoliopsida; Malpighiales; Euphorbiaceae. The record is from RNAcentral.
GGCAGAUUCUCUUCUAGAGUGCAAAAUUAUAAGACAAGGAAAAGCAGAAUCUCUAUACCUCCCCAUAUUAUACUCUAAUUUCUAAGACCUUUGAUGAUAGAUAUUGCUCAUUUCUAUUUGACUAUGAAGGCAUGCAUACCAGUGCAAGUAUUUUCUUUCUCUUGGUCUCUGUUCUCUUCUACUUCAUACACUAUCAUCUUAGCUUCUUCAACCAACUGAACAAUGAUUUAGCCUCAAACAAACAGAAUCAGUUAUACUGAUCCUUUUCUCUCCCUUUUAUUCUGUUUAGGCUAAAUUUCCAUAGGGUUGCUAAGAUAUUAAAACACUCUUCACAGCUUCAAACCAAAUCACUUUGGCUCCACUCAUCUCUCUUUCUCUUUCAUAUUCUACACUCCUACAACUUGAAAGACUCAACUUUCCACAUCAAUGAACCCUUUGACUAUACCGAAUAUUUGUCAAACCUUUUUAAAUGACCUAACCGAACUUAUCAUCAGUGUGUGCCACUUUCAACUUUUGCAAUUGCAUUAAUGUAUGCCAUUUUUAGUCUACCCCCUCGAUUCUUUUUUUUUUUUUUU